This 76-nucleotide transfer RNA is filed under the name Vibrio parahaemolyticus. RNAcentral describes it as "tRNA-Glu". It matches the Rfam family "tRNA". From Rfam's summary of the family: Transfer RNA (tRNA) molecules are approximately 80 nucleotides in length. Their secondary structure includes four short double-helical elements and three loops (D, anti-codon, and T loops). The record is from RNAcentral. Lineage: Bacteria; Pseudomonadati; Pseudomonadota; Gammaproteobacteria; Vibrionales; Vibrionaceae.
GUCGGGUUCGUGUAGAGGGCUAGGACACCGCCCUUUCGCGGCGGUAACAGGGGUUCGAUGCCCCUACGGGAUACCA